UACUACCGAAGCUACGGCAUCAGUAAUGAUGGGUAGGGGAGCUUCCCAUACGGGUUGAAGCAUGACCGUAAGGACAUGUGGACAGUAUGGGAGUGAGAAUGUUGGCAUGAGUAGCGAGAUGUGGGUGAGAAUCCCACAGGCCGUAAACCCAAGGUUUCCAGGGGAAGGUUCGUCCGCCCUGGGUUAGUCGGGACCUAAGCUGAGGCCGAAAGGCGUAGGUGAUGGACAACAGGUUGAUAUUCCUGUACUACCGAUAACCGUUUGAGAGAAGGGAUGACACAGUAGGAUAAGCUAAGCACACUGUUGGUUAUGUGUGCCCAAGCAUUGAGGCAGUCAAAGUAGGCAAAUCCGCUUUGAUAAUGCUGGGAUGUGAUGGGGAGCGAAAUUUAGUAGCGAAGUAGCUGAUUUCACACUGUCAAGAAAAGUCUCUAUCGAGGUUAAAGGUACCCGUACCGCAAACCGACACAGGUGGGUGAGGAGAGUAUCCUAAGGCCAGCGAGAGAACUGUUGUUAAGGAACUCGGCAAAAUGACCCCGUAACUUAGGGAUAAGGGGUGCCACCAUCAGGUGGCCGCAGAGAAUAGGCCCAAGCGACUGUUUACCAAAAACAUAGGUUUCUGCUAAGUCGCAAGACGAUGUAUAGGAGCUGACGCCUGCCCGGUGCUGGAAGGUUAAGGGGAUCUGUUAGAGCAAUCGAAGCAGUGAACUUAAGCCCCAGUAAACGGCGGCCGUAACUAUAACGGUCCUAAGGUAGCGAAAUUCCUUGUCGGGUAAGUUCCGACCCGCACGAAAGGCGUAACGAUUUGGGCACUGUCUCAACAACAGACUCGGUGAAAUUGUAAUUCCGGUGAAGAUGCCGGAUACCUGCGACAGGACGGAGAGACCCCAUGGAGCUUUACUGUAGCUUGUCAUUGGGUCGUGGUACUACAUGUACAGGAUAGGUGGGAGGCUUUGAAACCAGGACGCCAGUUUUGGCGGAGCCAUCCUUGGGAUACCACCCUUGUAGUACUGGGACUCUAACCAUAGGCCAUGAAUCUGGUCUUGGGACACUGUCAGGUGGGCAGUUUGACUGGGGCGGUCGCCUCCCAAAAGG
This 1092-nucleotide ribosomal RNA is filed under the name Clostridioides difficile. RNAcentral's name for it is "bacterial LSU rRNA". It matches the Rfam family "Bacterial large subunit ribosomal RNA", at positions 1189 to 2297 of the family's 2925-position model. Lineage: Bacteria; Bacillati; Bacillota; Clostridia; Peptostreptococcales; Peptostreptococcaceae. The record is from RNAcentral.